ACGGAUUAAAGCACUUUAUUGGGGGGGGGGUGGGGGGGGGGGGGGCUCCUGUGGGGCACACAGGGGUGCUAUGGGGCACACAGGGGCACUAGGGGGCACCCAUGGGUGCUAUGGGGACAACCAGGGGUCGCUAUGGGGGUUUCAUCAACACACAAACAAUAGGACUGAUGGCCUUCCCCCAUUGACUCGACCCAACAUUGGCCAUGGGGCAGCUGUGGGGCACACAGGGAUGCUAUGGGGCACAGAGAGAUGCUAUGGGGCAGCUAUGGGGACAACCAGGGGUUGCUAUGGGGUUUCAUCAACACACAAACAAUAGGAUUGAUGGCCUUCCCCCAUUGGGUUGACCCAACGUUGGCCAUGGGGCAGCUAUGGGGCACACAGGGAUGCUAUGGGGCAGCUAUGGGGCAGCUAUGGGGACAACCAGGGAUCGCUAUGGGGCUCUCCAACACAAAACAACCGGACUGAUGGCCUUCCCCCAUUGACUCAACCCAACGUUGGCCAUGGGGCAGCUGUGGGACACCUAUGGGGCACAGAGAGAUGCUAUAGGGCAGCUAUGGGGCAGCUAUGGGGACAACCAGGGAUCACUAUGGGGUUCCAUCAACACACAAACAAUAGGACUGAUGGCCUUCCCCCAUUGCCUCAACCCAACCCAAGACCCAACGAGGGCCAUGGGGCAGCUAUGGGUGCUAUGGGGACACCUCAAAGACAACCAGGGGCUGCUAUGGGCUCUCCUUAACAGAUAAACAAUGGGACUGAUGGCCUUCCCCCAUUGGGUUGACCCAACGUUGGCCAUGGGGCACCCAUGGGGCAGCUAUGGGGCAGCUAUGGGGACAAGCAGGGAUCCCUAUGGCCUUCCCCCAUUGCCUCAACCCAACCAAUCCCCCCCCCCAAUCCCCCACCCCCCAUCAUCUCCCACCCCCCCAUCAUCCCCCCAUCCCAACUUGUGGGUCGCUUCAUGGGGGGGGUUAUGGGGUUAUGGGGGGUUAUGGGUCCCCCUUCGUCCCCCCAUCCCAACUUGUGGGUCGUGUAAUGGGGGAGGGUUACGGGGGGGUUAUGGGUCCCCCUUCAUCCCCCCACCCCAACUCCUGGGUCGCUUAAGGGGGGGGUUAUGGGGUUAUGGGGGGGUUAUGGGGGGGUUAUGGGUCCCCCUUCAUCCCCCCAUCCCAACUCGUGGGUCGCUUAAUGGGGGGGGUUAUGGGGGGGUUAUGGGUCCCCCUUCGUCCCCCCAUCCCAACUUGUGGGUCACUUAAGGGGGGGUUAUGGGGGGGUUAUGGGGUGUGUGGGGGGGUUAUGGGGUUAUGGGGGGGUUAUGGGUCCCCCUUCGUCCCCCCACCCCAACUCGUGGGUCACUUAAGGGGGGGGGUUAUGGGGGGGUUAUGGGUCCCCCUUCGUCCCCCCACCCCAACUCGUGGGUCGCUUCAUGGGGGGGUUAUGGGGUUAUGGGGGGGUUGUGGGGGGGUUAUGGGUCCCCCUUCAUCCCCCCACCCCGACUCGUGGGUCGCUUAAGGGGGGGUUAUGGGGGGGGUUAUGGGUCCCCCUUCGUCCCCCCAUCCCAACUCGUGGGUCGCUUAAGGGGGGAGGGGUUAUGGGGGGGUUAUGGGGUGUGUGGGGGGGUUAUGGGGUUAUGGGGGGGUUAUGGGUCCCCCUUCGUCCCCCCACCCCAACUCGUGGGUCGCUUAAGGGGGGUUAUGGGGGGGUUAUGGGGUGUGUGUGGGGGUUAUGGGGGGGUUAUGGGUCCCCCUUCGUCCCCCCAUCCCAACUCGUGGGUCGCUUAAGGGGGGGGGUUAUGGGUCGCUUCACGGGGGGGGGGUUAUGGGUCCCCCUUCAUCCCCCCAUCCCAACUCGUGGGUCACUUAAGGGGGGGUUAUGGGGUGUGUGGGGGGGUUAUGGGUCCCCCUUCAUCCACCCACCCCAACUCGUGGGUCGCUUCAUGGGGGGGUUAUGGGGUUAUGGGGGGGUUGUGGGGGGGUUAUGGGUCCCCCUUCGUCCCCCCACCCCAACUCGUGGAUCUCUUAAUGGGGGGGUUAUGGGGUUAUGGGGGGGUUGUGGGGGGGUUAUGGGUCCCCCUUCAUCCUCCCCCCCAACUCGUGGGUCACUUAAGGGGGGGUUAUGGGGGGGUUAAGGGGGGGUUAUGGGUCCCCCUUCGUCCCCCCACCCCAACUUGUGGGUCGCCUAAGGGGGGGUUAUGGGGGGGUUAUGGGUCCACCUUCGUCCCCCCUCCCCCAACUCGUGGGUCGCUUAAGGGGGGGGUUAUGGGGGGGUUAUGGGUCCCUCUUCAUCCCCCCAUCCUGACUCGUGGGUCGCUUAAGGGGGGGGGGUUAUGGGUUUAUGGGGGGGUUAUGGGGGGGUUAUGGGGGGGUUAUGGGUCCCCCUUCGUCCCCCCACCCCAACUCGUGGGUCGCUUAAGGGGGGGGUUAUGGGGUUAUGGGGGGGUUGUGGGGGGGUUAUGGGUCCCCCUUCAUCCUCCCCCCCAACUCGUGGGUCACUUAAGGGGGGGGGUUAUGGGGUUAUGGGGGGGAUAUGUGGGGGUUAUGGGUCCCCCUUCGUACCCCCACCCCGACUCGUGGGUCGCUUCACAGGGGGGGGGUUAUGGAGGGGUUAUGGGGGGGUUAUGGGGGGGUUAUGGGUCCCCCUUCGUCCCCCCACCCCAACUCGUGGGUCACUUAAGGGGGGGUUAUGGGGGGUUAUGGGGUGGUUAUGGGGGGGUUAUGGGGGGGUUAAGGGGGGGUUCUGGGGCGGUUCGGGUCGCGGGGCUCAGCUGAUGUAGACGCGGUGGAAGUCGUGGGCCCCGAAGGCGGCGUUGCAUUUGGGGCACUUCCUCUGGCGGGUGUCGUAGCGGCUCUUGACGCACUCGAAGCAGAAGACGUGGAAGCAUUUGGUCAGCACCGCGUCCUUCUUGCGCGCGUUGCAGCACGGGCACGUCAGGCGGGCCUAUGGGGGGGGG
Molecule: long non-coding RNA, 2944 nt
Filed under: Gallus gallus (chicken)
Lineage: Eukaryota; Metazoa; Chordata; Aves; Galliformes; Phasianidae
Description: lncRNA (ENSGALG00010000194.1)
Source: RNAcentral